AUGAAGAUUGGUACGAGAUUUCUCACUUGUGAUGUUUUCUUCAUUUUGGUUGUGAGUGAAAUUGGUGUUUCGAAUCAGAAGUUGUCAGUGUUUGCCGGAUCGGUUGGUUGCAUCGUUGGUAGAACAGGCCGCAGGUAUAUAAAUGGCGUAGCGAGUCUUCCGAUGUUGAGGCAGAAGCAAUUUGCACAGUGCUUGAAACUUUGA
Molecule: non-coding RNA, 204 nt
Organism: Vicia faba (fava bean)
Lineage: Eukaryota; Viridiplantae; Streptophyta; Magnoliopsida; Fabales; Fabaceae
Source: the annotation of a GenBank genome assembly